Pantherophis guttatus is the source of this 678-nucleotide long non-coding RNA. RefSeq lists it as uncharacterized. NCBI's taxonomy places the organism in Eukaryota, Metazoa, Chordata, Lepidosauria, Squamata, Colubridae. The record is from RefSeq and is a predicted model, not a curated record.
CUCUCAGGAGAUGGCGCGCCCCCCCCCACAACUCCCCGCCUUCGGAGAGAGAUUCUCCUGCGGGCCUCAGCGCGGCGGACGCGGCUGUUUAAAAGAUGUGGCGUCGUGGUUUUUCUCGCUCUCCAUCUUUCAAACAGUUUGUUCUUGGGGCGAAAGUCCGAGAACAGUUUCAAUUGUUUUAACAUCCGUUUCAAUUUGUACUUCAAAUUGAAGUACAAGGCACUGUCUAUGACCAUGGCCAGAGGCUUCGAGAAAAGCAUCUAAUUUCAGAAUAGGGCCACCACUAACUUAUGAGAAGUGUAAUUCUGGCCAAAUUCCUCAUUGCUUGGUUGGACAGAGCAUUAACCGAUGCAAAAGGUUCUCAGCAUCCCAUGAUUGUCAGGAUGAAGAUGAUCAGCAAAUUCUCUUCCAACUGAUCCAGAAGGACUAGACGUUGUGCCACAUGGAAAUGUCUAUAAUACCAUUCCAACUGUUUUCUUGACAUACUUUACCUGCAUGUAAAGCCGCCUUUUUAAUGGUUUUGCUUAAUCAUUUUAAACCAUAUGCUACUCAAUCUUUCAACAAGACUAUUUAAAAUGUGUUAGUGAUGUAGGUAUGUUACAUCUAAAAUUUUAAUAAAACAGCCAGAAUACUUCUGACAAUGCACAUGAGGAAUAUUCUGCCAGCUAUUGUAAUUUA